Long non-coding RNA from Fukomys damarensis (Damara mole-rat), 363 nucleotides. RefSeq lists it as uncharacterized. NCBI's taxonomy places the organism in Eukaryota, Metazoa, Chordata, Mammalia, Rodentia, Bathyergidae. The record is from RefSeq and is a predicted model, not a curated record. The transcript is spliced from 3 exons.
GAAUGAUAAAUGAAAAGCUUCUUGCAUGCUGGAUGCACAGAACAGGUGCAGUUGGUGCCCUGGACUACUGUUUACUCUGCUAGGCUCUUAUUGUACAGGAAGUCAUCUCGAAGUUCCCUCCAAGUUUCAUCCUGGGGAAUCCUGAUAUGGCAGCUCUGACCCCUCUCCCAAAGGAUAUGGGGAAGUGGCCAUUCAGAUUGCUUCAAAAUUGAGCAGCCCCUGAGACCACCUGAUCUUCGAUGAGCACCUUCAUAUAUUUUACUGAUUCAUCCAAAAGAUCUGAGAGUUAGGAGUCGCAGGUUCAAGUUCUUUUGCUGUCGAGGAGCUUGAAAAUAGGUCGAGAAGAGGGCCAUCCCUCCCGGG